RNAcentral lists this ribosomal RNA (443 nucleotides) under uncultured bacterium. RNAcentral's name for it is "partial 16S ribosomal RNA". It matches the Rfam family "Bacterial small subunit ribosomal RNA", at positions 338 to 795 of the family's 1533-position model. The record is from RNAcentral.
CCUACGGGGUGCUGCAGUGGGGGAUAUUGGACAAUGGGGGGAACCCUGAUCCAGCGACGCCGCGUGAGUGAAGAAGUAUUUCGGUAUGUAAAGCUCUGUCAGCAGGGAAGAAAGAAAUGACGGUACCUGACCAAGAAGCCCCGGCUAACUACGUGCCAGCAGCCGCGGUAAUACGUAGGGGGCAAGCGUUAUCCGGAAUUACUGGGUGUAAAGGGAGCGUAGACGGUUAAGUAAGUCUGGAGUGAAAGGCCGGGGCCCAACCCCGGGACUGCUCUGGAAACUAUUUAACUUGAGUGCAGGGGAGGUAAGCGGAAUUCCUAGUGUAGCGGUGAAAUGCGUAGAUAUUAGGAGGAACACCAGUGGCGAAGGCGGCUUACUGGACUGUAACUGACGUUGAGGCUCGAAAGCGUGGGGAGCAAACAGGAUUAGAUACCCGGGUAGUC